Long non-coding RNA from Mastomys coucha (southern multimammate mouse), 524 nucleotides. RefSeq lists it as uncharacterized. The record is from RefSeq and is a predicted model, not a curated record. The transcript is spliced from 3 exons. Lineage: Eukaryota; Metazoa; Chordata; Mammalia; Rodentia; Muridae.
UCUAGGAAUCCUCUUGGAUGCAACACCAGAUUGGCACUGAUAAGACAUCCCAGUCUCAUGGACUGAGCAGCUACCUUUCCAUCAGGAGACAGUCAUUAUUGAACCACAGCCUUUAAGCCACUCUAGUACAUCCACUUCUAGAAAUGGAAUCAAGAAGAAUUAGAUCUAAAAUAUCGGUGGCCAAUGUCACUAAUUACCACAAAAAAAGAAAGGAAGGAAGGAAGGAAGAAGGAAGAAGGAAGGAGGAAGGAGGAAGGAAGGAAGGAAGGAAAGAAAGAAGGAAGCAAGCAAGCAAGCUUGGUCAAAGUCAGCACAGGACUGAAACAUCAUUAGCUGUCCUUCAGCUCUGAGAGGGAUUCCUGCAGGACUCAACAUUUACAGCUCAGGAAGCACAGAGCUUCCCCAGAGGGAACGUGACAGGAAAUUUCAAGUCUCUGAGGUUCUUGAGGGAAGGAGGUUGAUCCCCUUUCUGUCAUCCACUAGAACACAAUAAAACUGUCAGUCACACACCGUGAUAUAUACUG